GGCCACAUCGCGUUGAAACACCGGUUCCAAUACGAUCACCGAAGAUAAGCAACGUUGAGUCUGGCCAGUAAAUGGGUGACCGUUUAGGAAUACCAGGUGCUGUAAG
Acanthosepion pharaonis is the source of this 106-nucleotide non-coding RNA. The record is from the annotation of a GenBank genome assembly. NCBI's taxonomy places the organism in Eukaryota, Metazoa, Mollusca, Cephalopoda, Sepiida, Sepiidae.